Molecule: long non-coding RNA, 708 nt
Organism: Symphalangus syndactylus (siamang)
Lineage: Eukaryota; Metazoa; Chordata; Mammalia; Primates; Hylobatidae
Source: RefSeq, a predicted model, not a curated record
GGUGAGGUCACAACAUAGGAAAGUUGCUUGGUGUAUAAUUAGUGUGGGGAGCACAGCGGGGUGGAUUACAAUGCACAGACAAAUUCUAAUCCAUAGCCUGUAAUUUGAGGGUUGGGUCAAUCAUAAUUUGGGUGCAAGCACACCUACUUCCUUUUUUAAUAAGGGAGAAUUUAGCUCUUGUUACCCACAAGAGUUCUCAAAGUAGAAAAUAAUAAACCAUGUUCUUGAAGCCAGUACUGAAUUAUCAAAGCUGAAGGAAAGGAAGCUAAAGAAAGAUUAGGCAACUUGGGGUACAAAUGGGUUCAAAAUCCUCUCCAUCAGUAUGCCAAGUCUCUGGAUACCAGUGACUUAUUUGCCCUAGGGUGAGAGAAAACUCCAUUUUCCAUCAAGCUAGAGAAGCAGCCUUCGUUUUUCAGCCAUGGAUAAGGCCACUUAUUAGGAGGACAACAAGAAGUGAAAUCUCAGGAGGAUGCUUACCAGGAAUCAGGAAACUGGAAAAACAAUGGCCUGCUGGAACAGAUCUCCAAGCCCUAGAGGACCACAGGUGAAUGUCACCUGUAAGCCUCCGCUCAUUCUCGCCAAUGUAAUUCUGCAAAAGGCCACAUCUAAACUACUGAAAUGCAUCAAGUAAUUUUCAAAGGCCUACAGACUCUGCUAUGCUUCAGUAGCUGUCCUAUCAAAAUUAACCCUGAAGGGUGUCACUUCUGA